GACGAACGCUGGCGGCGUGCCUAACACAUGCAAGUCGAACGGAACUGUUUUGACAGAUUUCUUCGGAAUGCAUUUGAUUUAGUUUAGUGGCGGACGGGUGAGUAACGCGUGAGUAACCUGCCUUCAAGAGGGGAAUAACAUUCUGAAAAGAAUGCUAAUACCGCAUGACAUAUCGGAACCACAUGGUUUUGAUAUCAAAGAUUUUAUCGCUUGAAGAUGGACUCGCGUCCGAUUAGUUAGUUGGUGAGGUAACGGCGCACCAAGACCGCGAUCGGUAGCCGGAAUGAGAGGUUGAACGGCCACAUUGGGACUGAGACACGGCCCAGACUCCUACGGGAGGGAGCAGUGGGGGAUAUUGCGCAAUGGGGGCAACCCUGACGCAGCAACGCCGCGUGAAGGAGGAAGGUUUUCGGAUUGUAAACUUCUUUUAUUAAGGACGAAAAAUGACGGUACUUAAUGAAUAAGCUCCGGCUAACUACGUG
RNAcentral lists this ribosomal RNA (482 nucleotides) under uncultured bacterium. RNAcentral describes it as "partial 16S ribosomal RNA". It matches the Rfam family "Bacterial small subunit ribosomal RNA", at positions 28 to 507 of the family's 1533-position model. The record is from RNAcentral.